This 19-nucleotide small nuclear RNA is filed under the name Arabidopsis thaliana (thale cress). RNAcentral describes it as "snRNA_02814". Lineage: Eukaryota; Viridiplantae; Streptophyta; Magnoliopsida; Brassicales; Brassicaceae. The record is from RNAcentral.
CCCUCCCAUCCCAGGAAUA